RNAcentral lists this ribosomal RNA (514 nucleotides) under uncultured fungus. RNAcentral's name for it is "eukaryotic LSU rRNA". The stretch from base 108 to 261 matches the Rfam family "5.8S ribosomal RNA". The record is from RNAcentral. Lineage: Eukaryota; Fungi.
GCUUUUUUAUCAAAGUCGGCUUACCCUAGUAUUUUUCAGGACUAUGACGUUUUUCACAAACCUCUGAAUCUGUUUAGAAUGUUGAACCAAUAAAGUUUUAAAUAUACAACUUUCAGCAACGGAUCUCUUGGCUCUCGCAUCGAUGAAGAACGCAGCGAAAUGCGAUAAGUAAUGUGAAUUGCAGAAUUCAGUGAAUCAUCGAAUCUUUGAACGCAUCUUGCGCUCCUUGGUAUUCCGAGGAGCAUGCCUGUUUGAGUGUCAUUUCAACUUGUAUCAACUACAUCAUCAUUCUUGAUGUGGCUUGGAUGUGGAGGAUUUUUUUUUGCCGGCUUUUGAAUUGAAGUUUGCUCCUCUGAAAUGUAUUAGUGGUAUCUGAGCUGCUAUAGGUGUGAUAAAUAUCUAUGCCUUGGGUUAUGCUGAUCGUGUGCUGCUUCUAACGAAAAUGAAUCAAAGUUUUCUUUGACGAACUUGACCUCAAAUCAGGUAGGACUACCCGCUGAACUUAAGCAUAUCA